Molecule: long non-coding RNA, 1255 nt
Organism: Heterocephalus glaber (naked mole-rat)
Lineage: Eukaryota; Metazoa; Chordata; Mammalia; Rodentia; Bathyergidae
Source: RefSeq, a predicted model, not a curated record
CACAGUCACAGGCAGCGUUGACCCACGGGAUCCCCACAGCAUCCUGGGAGCCUCGACCGAGCCCCGGGUUUCCAGGAGCUGUGGCCCAGAGGGCACGUUGACGUCCCCCUCUGGGCGCCAAUGCCUUCCUUCUCAGCACCUCAGGGGAAUGAGUCCUCUUCUCCCUGCGCUGCUCAUUUCCACCCCCACUGCUGUGGAGUCCCAGGGCGGGCCGUGGAGGCGUCCCCACAUCUCCUCGGAGGGAAAGUGAUCUGACAUGGAUGGCGGGAUCGAGUCUUCCGACUGAGCACCAGCAGCACCGGCGAGGCCGGAGGACCAGCACUGGUGCUUGCCCCGGGCUUAGCGUGGAGCCGAUGCCUGUGAAGAUUUGUGGUUGGAUGAAGAAUCAAGGAGGAAGAGCAGAUACGUCUUUCGAGGCCGGCAUCGUCUGACGGUCGGCCUUCCAGCCACCUGCGGCGGAGUAAUAGAUCACUCGGAACCCAGGGGCUGCAAAGCACAGGAGCAUUUUAUUGUUACCAUUCUUGUUCCCAGGAGGCGGUUGCGUGGAGACAGGGGGCUCCAGCCCUGGAGUUUCAUGCGUGGGGAGUGUGAGGAUCUGACACAGGCUUCCCGAAUCCCCUGGCCAGGGGAGGGGACAGAGCCCUGCCGUCGCAGCUUCCCGGGCGCCUAGCACUGCGUGGAUUAAUGCUGGACAGAUGGGCACCCCAAAACACAGGACUGUCACAGCCCUUCAUACAAAAGUCAUUUUAAGAAAAGAAUAAUUCUAUUCUUGCUGUAGACAUUUUAAAAGGAGCAUGGCUUUUGAUACGCAGGCAUAAAGCAUCUGACAACAGUAGGUAUUGUGCCUGCGUUGUACAGAACACCUCUGCAUUUCUCAGAUGUUUACAAAAACAGAACACUACAUAUUACACAGCUUUCACAUUAAAAUAUAAUUUCUGCUUCUCAUAAAUGUUUUGAAAAUGCAGAGGAAGCAAAGGGGGAAAACAAAAAGGAGGAAAUUCUCUACUAUUAAUAUUAUGAGAUGUAGCCUGCUGACAUUUUUAUUUUGCCCUUCCCUUUUUAACAAAAUAGGUCUUUGGUAGAAUUCUCCCUUAGAAGGUGAUUUUUAACUGACCAAGCAGUGAGCUAGAACAAUUUUCCCUAUCACUAAAUAUUCAUCUACUACAUCAUUUUCUUGCAGAGUUUAUACUGAUGAUGACAGAUUCAUUAUAAAAGUGCUUAAUAUGAAGAUAAAUAAAUAAGUCGUGAAACUUGA